RNAcentral lists this ribosomal RNA (857 nucleotides) under uncultured euryarchaeote. RNAcentral's name for it is "bacterial SSU rRNA". It matches the Rfam family "Archaeal small subunit ribosomal RNA", at positions 1 to 879 of the family's 1478-position model. The record is from RNAcentral. Lineage: Archaea; Methanobacteriati; Methanobacteriota.
UUCCGGUUGAUCCCGCCGGAGGCGACCGCUUUGGGAGUUCGAUUAAGCCAUGCGAGUCGUGAGUCUUAGGGACUCGGCAUACUGCUCAGUAACACGUGGAUAACCUGCCCUAUCGUCUGGAAUAACCUCGGGAAACUGAGAAUAAGGCCGGAUAGUUCACAAUGCCUGGAACGGUUUGUGAAUCAAGGUAGGAUGGGUCUGCGGCGUAUCAGGUUGUAGGGGGUGUAAAGGACCCCCUAGCCUUCGACGCGUACGGGUGUUGGGAGACAUAGCCCGGAGAUGGAUUCUGAGACACGAAUCCAGACCCUACGGGGUGCAGCAGGCGCGAAAACUUCACACUGCAGGAAACUGUGAUGAGGGAACUCCUAGUGCAUGCACUAUGUGUAUGUAGAUCCUACUCUUAACAAGUAGAGGGAAAGGGCUGGGAAAGACCGGUGCCAGCCGCCGCGGUAAUACCGGCAGCUCAAGUGGUCGUCGCUUUUAUUGGGCCUAAAACGUCCGUAGCCUGUUUGGUAAAUCUGUGGGUAAAUCAAUCCGCUCAACGGAUUGAAUUCUGCAGAGACUGCCAGACUAGGGACCGGGAGAGGUGUGGGGUACUCGAGGGGUAGGGGUAAAAUCCUGUCAUCCUUCGAGGACCACCAGUUGCGAAGGCGCCACACUGGAACGGAUCCGACGGUCAGGGACGAAGCCUAGGGGCACGAACCGGAUUAGAUACCCGGGUAGUCCUAUGUGUAAACGCUGUGAACUUGGUGUCGGGGGUCCGCAAGGGGUCCCCGGUGCCGGAGUGAAGAUGUUAAGUUCACUGCCUGGGGAGUACGGUCGCAAGGCUGAAACUUAAAGGAAUUGGCGGGCAGCAC